Molecule: ribosomal RNA, 253 nt
Filed under: uncultured bacterium
Lineage: Bacteria
Description: partial 16S ribosomal RNA
Rfam family: Bacterial small subunit ribosomal RNA
Source: RNAcentral
UACGUAUGGGGCUAGCGUUGUCCGGAAUCAUUGGGCGUAAAGCGCGUGUAGGCGGCCCGGUAAGUCCGCUGUGAAAGUCGGGGGCCCAACCCUCGGAUGCCGGUGGAUACUGUCGGGCUCGAGUACGGAAGAGGCGAGUGGAAUUCCUGGUGUAGCGGUGAAAUGCGCAGAUAUCAGGAGGAACACCAAUUGCGAAGGCAGCUCGCUGGGACGUAACUGACACUGAGGCGCGAAAGCGUGGGGAGCGAACAGG